ACGCGAGUGGAUGCCAAUCCCCAAAACCUCUCUCAGUUCGGACUGGAGUCUGCAACCCGACUCCACGAAGCUGGAUUCGCUAGUAAUCGCGCAUCAGCCACGGCGCGGUGAAUACGUUCCCGGGCCUUGUACACACCGCCCGUCAAGCCAUGGGAGCCGGGGGUACCUGAAGUGCGUAACCGCGAGGAGCGCCCUAGGGUAAAACUGGUGACUGGGGCUAAGUCGUAACAAGGUACC
This 237-nucleotide ribosomal RNA is filed under the name uncultured bacterium. Its description in RNAcentral is "partial 16S ribosomal RNA". It matches the Rfam family "Bacterial small subunit ribosomal RNA", at positions 1255 to 1500 of the family's 1533-position model. The record is from RNAcentral.